GGCGUCCACAAUUUUGGCGCACAGUUCUGCCAUCGCCGAUCCACCCGCUUCCUCCUCCCCGCGCCCGCGCAAGGGAAGUUGCUUCCCAAAUCCUGCAGACAAGAUUUAAUCCCGUGAUUCUUCUCAUCCAUGGCAGCCGCGCCCGCAAAUCACGCAUCCAUGGCAGCCGCGCCCGUAAACCGCGCCUCCCCCACGACUCCCCCUUCCAUGGCGUCACCCCCUUCCAUCCAUGGCAGUCACGCUCCCUCUGCAUCCUUCCAUCCAUGGCCGUGGCCCCCUCCGCGCCGCGAUUCUUCCCAUCCUCUCCCUCCGCGCGGUUUGCGGCUGCCAAUCCUCUCCCUCCGCGUCGUGUUCUUCCCAUCCUCUCCCUCCGCGUCGGAUCUCUCCCCAUGUCCACCAACGCCGGCGUCCGUGAUGGCGCGCCCGGGGCGGCGGUGGACGCGGCUUUCGCCAGGCAUGCGCUCCAGGCCGAGGCCCUCCUCGGGUACCUCCCCGCACUGGCCACCAGCCCGCGUGCCGGGGGCAACAGGGUAAACCCCGCCGUCGCCGCGACGCAGCUCGGGGCGCUCGGCCGGUGGAAGGGCUCGGCGAGGGGCCUUCUCGAGUACAUGGUCGUCCACGACAUCGGUGGUGCCAUCGUCGCCGCCCCUGGGAGAGCCAAAGCCAAGCGGAGGAGGCCGCAGUCGACCGGAUUUGGGAAUCAUGCUCCUGCCAAACGGGAUGAACGGAAGGAAGCGAGAUCUUUCUGGGUUGAUUUGGCUUGAAGGAAGCGGGAUCUUUCUGGACAAUGGCUGUCUAGCUUCAUCCAUUCUGGGAACAAAGAAAAAACAAGAAACAUCUGGUGUCUGAGUCCAGUAGAAAGUUGUGCAAAGAGAAGAGCAAAAUAUCUACACCAGACGUCUCUUUUAGGUACAGAGGGACGGAGUCUUGUAAGAAGGUAGUUGCAAGCUUGAAGUCGUGUGAGCCAUGGGGGAACAGGGCAUUCUGGACAAACGCCGUUGGGCCAGGUUGGAAGUUGAGCUUUGCUGUUGAGCCAUGGACUAAGGGCUUUAGCAUGUCGUGUGCGGCGCCAUAUUCUGCUGGAGCCACAGAGCAUCAAUUAUCGCUCGAUGAGAAGGUGGAUAACUCCACCGUUGCAUCUGAUUCUGAUGGGCUAAUAACAACAUUAUUCAUUUCCAUCCCACAAGAAGGAAUAUCAAAUGGUCUUCUUCGAAGGUCUGUCAUCUUCUUUAGAGGGUUCAAAACCACCGUGCAUUCUGUCUUUAAGGAGUACAAUAGGAAUGGAAGAUACUCAAGGGUACCAAGAAGGAGAUGGCCAUGACUUAGUGCUGUAGAAACAAUAAUGGAUCAAAACACAAGACAUGCUCAAGAGUAAACUUAUUCCUGAAGAUGAAUUUGAUUGGAGUUUACCUUUGGUGGGCUCAGGUUCAGAUGAACAAGAAAGGUAAAGUUAUCUAUCAGCUAGACUCAUGGCGGGAAAGGUUUUUUCUAUUGUCGGUAUCCAGCACCUAAGUAGGCCUAGGAUUUUUUCUUCUGUCUUUAAUUUUUUCGUGAACGCGCAGGAGAGUUGCGCAUCAUUAAAUUAAGAGAAGAAACAGUCCAAAAUGGACCAAAGUACAAUGCCACAAAAGGCCAAACACAAGACCACCAAAUCCUGACCAAACACAAGACCAC
RNAcentral lists this unclassified non-coding RNA (1674 nucleotides) under Zea mays. Its description in RNAcentral is "misc RNA Zm00001eb242130". The record is from RNAcentral. Lineage: Eukaryota; Viridiplantae; Streptophyta; Magnoliopsida; Poales; Poaceae.